Molecule: long non-coding RNA, 140 nt
Organism: Mizuhopecten yessoensis (Yesso scallop)
Lineage: Eukaryota; Metazoa; Mollusca; Bivalvia; Pectinida; Pectinidae
Exons: 2
Source: RefSeq, a predicted model, not a curated record
CCGACGAAUUCAGUGUGGUGAAGACGCAUUGAGCGGACGAGCAUAGAAACCUGAAGAUUGUCAAAACAAAGGUGUAAAAUCAUCAACAGUGGAUGGCACUCAUCAGUCCUCAAAGCGGAUGUUGGCGGGCAGUCACAGUG